Non-coding RNA from Caerostris extrusa, 75 nucleotides. NCBI's taxonomy places the organism in Eukaryota, Metazoa, Arthropoda, Arachnida, Araneae, Araneidae. The record is from the annotation of a GenBank genome assembly.
AUCACCGAAGUCAAGCAUCAUUGGGCGCGGUCUGGUACUUGGGUGGGUGACCACCUGGGAACACCGCGUGCCGUU